AAUACAACUUUUAGCAACGGAUCUCUUGGCUCUCGCAUCGAUGAAGAACGCAGAA
RNAcentral lists this ribosomal RNA (55 nucleotides) under uncultured Greenland glacial ice fungus IM49-3. Its description in RNAcentral is "partial 5.8S ribosomal RNA". It matches the Rfam family "5.8S ribosomal RNA", at positions 1 to 50 of the family's 154-position model. Rfam says of the family: 5.8S ribosomal RNA (5.8S rRNA) is a component of the large subunit of the eukaryotic ribosome. It is transcribed by RNA polymerase I as part of the 45S precursor that also contains 18S and 28S rRNA. The record is from RNAcentral. Lineage: Eukaryota; Fungi; Basidiomycota.